RNAcentral lists this ribosomal RNA (423 nucleotides) under uncultured bacterium. RNAcentral describes it as "bacterial SSU rRNA". It matches the Rfam family "Bacterial small subunit ribosomal RNA", at positions 207 to 622 of the family's 1533-position model. The record is from RNAcentral.
AAGACCUUGCACUUUUGGAGCGGCCGAUGUCUGAUUAGCUAGUUGGUGGGGUAAUGGCCUACCAAAGCUUCGAUCAGUAGCUGGUCUGAGAGGACGGCCAGCCACACUGGGACUGAGACACGGCCCAGACUCCUACGGGAGGCAGCAGUGGGGAAUUUUGGACAAUGGGCGCCAGCCUGAUCCAGCCAUGCCGCGUGAGUGAAGAAGGCCUUCGGGUUGUAAAGCUCUUUCAGCCGGGAAGAAAAGGUUGCGACUAAUAAUCGCAAUCCAUGACGGUACCGAAAGAAGAAGCACCGGCUAACUACGUGCCAGCAGCCGCGGUAAUACGUAGGGUGCGAGCGUUAAUCGGAAUUACUGGGCGUAAAGGGUGCGCAGGCGGUUUUGUAAGUCAGAUGUGAAAUCCCCGGGCUUAACCUGGGAACU